ACAGAGUUUUUAACUCACCAAAAACUAUGUGAACUUACCUACGUUGCCUCGGCGGGGAACCUACCCGGGAACUACUUUACAGUAGUCUACCCGGUACCUACCCGGUAGCUACCAUGUAGUUGUAGGCUUACCCGCCGGCGGACCAUUCAAACUCUGAUAUUAUUUUGGCACUUCUGAGGGAUUAUACUUAAUAAGUUAAAACUUUCAACAACGGAUCUCUUGGUUCUGGCAUCGAUGAAGAACGCAGCGAAAUGCGAUAAGUAAUGUGAAUUGCAGAAUUCAGUGAAUCAUCGAAUCUUUGAACGCACAUUGCGCCCAUUAGUAUUCUAGUGGGCAUGCCUGUUCGAGCGUCAUUUCAACCCUCAAGCCCUGGUUGCUUGGUGUUGGGGGAUUAUCUUGCCGAAAGGCGGACAACUCCUUAAAACUAUUGGCGGAGUCGCGGUGACCCCAAGCGUAGUAAAUCUUCUUUUCUCUCGCUUUAGGGUGUCAACGCUGGCCUUCUAGCCGUUAAAGCCUCUAAUUUAUUAGUGGUUGACCUCGAAUCAGGUAGGACUACCCGCUGAACUUAAGCAUAUCAAUAAGCGGAGGA
Molecule: ribosomal RNA, 589 nt
Filed under: fungal sp. MG207Sc2R3x
Lineage: Eukaryota; Fungi
Description: eukaryotic LSU rRNA
Rfam family: 5.8S ribosomal RNA (bases 200-353)
Source: RNAcentral